RNAcentral lists this ribosomal RNA (433 nucleotides) under uncultured bacterium. RNAcentral describes it as "partial 16S ribosomal RNA". It matches the Rfam family "Bacterial small subunit ribosomal RNA", at positions 29 to 507 of the family's 1533-position model. The record is from RNAcentral.
AACGAACGCUGGCGGCAUGCCUAACACAUGCAAGUCGAACGAGACCUUCGGGUCUAGUGGCGCACGGGUGCGUAACGCGUGGGAACCUGCCCUUAGGUUCGGAAUAACUCCCCGAAAGGGGUGCUAAUACCGGAUAAUGUCUUCGGACCAAAGAUUUAUCGCCUUUGGAUGGGCCCGCGUUGGAUUAGCUAGUUGGUAGGGUAAAGGCCUACGAAGGCGACGAGCCAUAGCUGGUCUGAGAGGAUGAUCAGCCACACUGGGACUGAGACACGGCCCAGACUCCUACGGGAGGCAGCAGUGGGGAAUAUUGGACAAUGGGCGAAAGCCUGAUCCAGCAAUGCCGCGUGAGUGAUGAAGGCCUUAGGGUUGUAAAGCUCUUUUACCCGGGAUGAUAAUGACAGUACCGGGAGAAUAAGCUCCGGCUAACUCCGUG